This 1472-nucleotide ribosomal RNA is filed under the name Shigella flexneri. Its description in RNAcentral is "bacterial SSU rRNA". It matches the Rfam family "Bacterial small subunit ribosomal RNA". The record is from RNAcentral. Lineage: Bacteria; Pseudomonadati; Pseudomonadota; Gammaproteobacteria; Enterobacterales; Enterobacteriaceae.
UCAGAGUCGGAUCCUGGCUCAGAUUGAACGCUGGCGGCAGGCCUAACACAUGCAAGUCGAACGGUAACAGGAAGCAGCUUGCUGCUUUCGCUGACGAGUGGCGGACGGGUGAGUAAUGUCUGGGAAACUGCCUGAUGGAGGGGGAUAACUACUGGAAACGGUAGCUAAUACCGCAUAACGUCGCAAGACCAAAGAGGGGGACCUUCGGGCCUCUUGCCAUCGGAUGUGCCCAGAUGGGAUUAGCUAGUAGGUGGGGUAACGGCUCACCUAGGCGACGAUCCCUAGCUGGUCUGAGAGGAUGACCAGCCACACUGGAACUGAGACACGGUCCAGACUCCUACGGGAGGCAGCAGUGGGGAAUAUUGCACAAUGGGCGCAAGCCUGAUGCAGCCAUGCCGCGUGUAUGAAGAAGGCCUUCGGGUUGUAAAGUACUUUCAGCGGGGAGGAAGGGAGUAAAGUUAAUACCUUUGCUCAUUGACGUUACCCGCAGAAGAAGCACCGGCUAACUCCGUGCCAGCAGCCGCGGUAAUACGGAGGGUGCAAGCGUUAAUCGGAAUUACUGGGCGUAAAGCGCACGCAGGCGGUUUGUUAAGUCAGAUGUGAAAUCCCCGGGCUCAACCUGGGAACUGCAUCUGAUACUGGCAAGCUUGAGUCUCGUAGAGGGGGGUAGAAUUCCAGGUGUAGCGGUGAAAUGCGUAGAGAUCUGGAGGAAUACCGGUGGCGAAGGCGGCCCCCUGGACGAAGACUGACGCUCAGGUGCGAAGUGGGGAGCAAACAGGAUUAGAUACCCUGGUAGUCCACGCCGUAAACGAUGUCGACUUGGAGGUUGUGCCCUUGAGGCGUGGCUUCCGGAGCUAACGCGUUAAGUCGACCGCCUGGGGAGUACGGCCGCAAGGUUAAAACUCAAAUGAAUUGACGGGGGCCCGCACAAGCGGUGGAGCAUGUGGUUUAAUUCGAUGCAACGCGAAGAACCUUACCUGGUCUUGACAUCCACGGAAGUUUUCAGAGAUGAGAAUGUGCCUUCGGGAACCGUGAGACAGGUGCUGCAUGGCUGUCGUCAGCUCGUGUUGUGAAAUGUUGGGUUAAGUCCCGCAACGAGCGCAACCCUUAUCCUUUGUUGCCAGCGGUCCGGCCGGGAACUCAAAGGAGACUGCCAGUGAUAAACUGGAGGAAGGUGGGGAUGACGUCAAGUCAUCAUGGCCCUUACGACCAGGGCUACACACGUGCUACAAUGGCGCAUACAAAGAGAAGCGACCUCGCGAGAGCAAGCGGACCUCAUAAAGUGCGUCGUAGUCCGGAUUGGAGUCUGCAACUCGACUCCAUGAAGUCGGAAUCGCUAGUAAUCGUGGAUCAGAAUGCCACGGUGAAUACGUUCCCGGGCCUUGUACACACCGCCCGUCACACCAUGGGAGUGGGUUGCAAAAGAAGUAGGUAGCUUAACCUUCGGGAGGGCGCUACCACUUUGAUCCGGC